UACGUAGGGCGCAAGCGUUGUCCGGAAUUAUUGGGCGUAAAGAGCUCGUAGGCGGUUUGUCGCGUCUGCUGUGAAAACCUAAGGCUCAACCUUGGGCUUGCAGUGGGUACGGGCAGACUAGAGUGCGGUAGGGGAGAUUGGAAUUCCUGGUGUAGCGGUGGAAUGCGCAGAUAUCAGGAGGAACACCGAUGGCGAAGGCAGAUCUCUGGGCCGUAACUGACGCUGAGGAGCGAAAGCGUGGGGAGCGAACAGG
Molecule: ribosomal RNA, 253 nt
Filed under: uncultured bacterium
Lineage: Bacteria
Description: partial 16S ribosomal RNA
Rfam family: Bacterial small subunit ribosomal RNA
Source: RNAcentral